Molecule: transfer RNA, 65 nt
Filed under: Cantao ocellatus
Lineage: Eukaryota; Metazoa; Arthropoda; Insecta; Hemiptera; Scutelleridae
Description: tRNA-Cys
Rfam family: tRNA
About the family: Transfer RNA (tRNA) molecules are approximately 80 nucleotides in length.
Source: RNAcentral
AGCUUUAUAGUCAAAAUAAUGAUAUUAGAUUGCAAAUCUAUUGGUGAAAUUCAUUUCUAAAGCUU